Long non-coding RNA from Ficedula albicollis (Collared flycatcher), 588 nucleotides. RefSeq lists it as uncharacterized. Lineage: Eukaryota; Metazoa; Chordata; Aves; Passeriformes; Muscicapidae. The record is from RefSeq and is a predicted model, not a curated record. The transcript has 7 exons.
CAUUUUGUUCCAGCAGCGGUGGGUAGAGUUUUCUUUUUAGUAUUUUUCCCCGCGCGAUGGUGCUUUUGUCUGAGGCACGGAAUCCUCAUGCAUGGGUUCCCCAUGGCCACUCCCCAGCGUGGAGCAACGGGAGAGGUUCUGGUUUUGGGUGACCCCCAUGAAGUGACCACAAUGACCCAACCUGAGCCACCGGAGCUGGGGAUCCCCCAUGGGCCUGGAUUCCAUCCAGCUCUGCCCCCCCGGGGGUCCUAAAUGGGGAGACCCCCUGCCCCACAUGGGGGAGUUUAGGGGGGUCGUGAAUCCCAAUUCCUGAAUUUUGGGAAAGAUUCCAGGUAACUCCAGACCCAGAACACACCUGGGCCCAGGUAUGUAAAUGAGGGGGCGUGGCUUCACCGAUGACAUCACAGAUGAUGUCAUUCCCCAUUGAGGGACCCCCAAUUUUGGUGAUGAUGUCACUAGCUCACUUUGACCCCCCUGAAAACACCCGAACACCUGAAAAAUUGGGGUGGGGGUCCCCAGGGGAGGGUCCUGAGGGGGAGGGGCCAUCCUGACACCCCUCCCCCUCUCUGUCCCACAGGUGCUGCAGGU